CCCCUCUCAGGAUCACACCUGGAGAGUUUCCAGUACUCCCCCAGUCUCGGCUACAGGAGGUAGAGUCAAGAGGCAUACCCAUUCCAUUCCUGGCUUGGGCAGUGGCUAGUGAGUGGAAGGCAAUCUGCUACAAGU
Molecule: small nucleolar RNA, 135 nt
Organism: Ornithorhynchus anatinus (platypus)
Lineage: Eukaryota; Metazoa; Chordata; Mammalia; Monotremata; Ornithorhynchidae
Source: RefSeq, a predicted model, not a curated record